RNAcentral lists this ribosomal RNA (739 nucleotides) under uncultured delta proteobacterium. RNAcentral describes it as "bacterial SSU rRNA". It matches the Rfam family "Bacterial small subunit ribosomal RNA", at positions 77 to 792 of the family's 1533-position model. The record is from RNAcentral. Lineage: Bacteria; Deltaproteobacteria.
GCUUCGGCGUGAGAGUAAAGUGGCGCACGGGUGAGUAACGCGUGGGUAACCUACCCCCCAAACUGGGAUAACUCGCCGAAAGGCGUGCUAAUACCGGAUAUUGUCCCAAGGGCUCUGGCCGUUGGGAUGAAAGGUGGCCUCUUCUUGAAAGCUGCCGUUGAGGGAUGGGCCCGCGUACCAUUAGCUUGUUGGUGGGGUAAUGGCCUACCAAGGCGACGAUGGCUAGCUGGUCUGAGAGGAUGAUCAGCCACACUGGAACUGGAACACGGUCCAGACUCCUACGGGAGGCAGCAGUGAGGAAUUUUGCGCAAUGGGGGAAACCCUGACGCAGCAACGCCGCGUGAGUGAAGAAGGCCUUCGGGUUGUAAAGCUCUGUCAAGUGGGAAAAACGUCCCACGGUCAAUAGCCGUGGGAUCUGAUGGUACCGCUGGAGGAAGCACCGGCUAACUCCGUGCCAGCAGCCGCGGUAAUACGGAGGGUGCAAGCGUUGUUCGGAAUUACUGGGCGUAAAGGGCGUGUAGGUGGUAGGGUAUGUCAGAUGUGAAAGCCCUGGGCUCAACCCAGGAAGUGCAUUUGAAACUACUCUACUUGAGUAUGGGAGAGGAGAGUGGAAUUCCCAGUGUAGAGGUGAAAUUCGUAGAUAUUGGGAGGAACACCCGUGGCGAAGGCGGCUCUCUGGACCAAUACUGACACUGAGACGCGAAAGCGUGGGGAGCAAACAGGAUUAGAUACCCUGGUA